This 118-nucleotide ribosomal RNA is filed under the name Periophthalmus magnuspinnatus. The record is from RNAcentral. Lineage: Eukaryota; Metazoa; Chordata; Actinopteri; Gobiiformes; Gobiidae.
UAUUUUGGAUAUACCUCUUUGUAAAUACCUGAGCUUAUCUGCACUCAGACGCUAAGCAGGAUUGGGCCUGGUUAGGACUUGGAUGGGAGAACACUGAGAAAACCAGGUGCCACAGUGG